Ruditapes philippinarum (Manila clam) is the source of this 4755-nucleotide long non-coding RNA. RefSeq lists it as uncharacterized. The transcript has 5 exons. The record is from RefSeq and is a predicted model, not a curated record. NCBI's taxonomy places the organism in Eukaryota, Metazoa, Mollusca, Bivalvia, Venerida, Veneridae.
UAUAGUAACUACAAUGCUGUGAAAUAGAUUAGACACAUGUGUCUCAAAAAGGGUUAGAACUAUUGACUAGCAGAACAGACAUUUCUUCAAAGCAUGUUCAACUAUCAAGGGUAGUCCUAUAAAUGUGACGUCCUUUGAUUUUGAGAUAUUUUUGCUUUUGGGCAACCUUGACUGACAUUUAAGCAAUAACAAGCCCGUAAGUCUGAUAUAUUGAUCUACUAUCCAGGCUUGUUGACUCUUCAAAGAAAUAAAGUAGAAAAAAUAAAAUGUUGUCUGGAAAAUCGCACAAAAAUCAAUAUUGUUGUCUCAUUUGAAUCAUUUUUGCAGUAAAAUUUCAGCAUUUCACAAUUUGAAAAAUAAUCAUGGACAAUAACCAUAAUUGUGCUGGAAUUGUUAGAUAAUUCUUAUUGACAAACCUUCUUCCUUAUAAGCAGUGCAGCAAUUCAUGUAUUGUAAUUGGUUUGAAUAGUCAAGAUUUUAGGCCAUGGUACUAGUAUGCUAUAUUUUCAAUUACAGAAUUAAAUCAAUUUCAUCGUCAUCAUGUGUUGCAAUACCACUACCAGGGACAUCAAAGAUGACCUGGACUUCAGUGCAUAUGCAGAGGAGAGUAGCACUAAAGAAAGCCAAUAAAAUCCUUUUGGAGUUGAAUUGAGACACAACCAUUCAUUUCUGGUUUAGUUAUAAAACUGCUACAGACUAUAAACUAUUCAUGAUGAUGGAAUACACCAAUGCCUAGUACAAUCAUGGCCCAUUAGAAACCAGAACAAACCAUGACUGCAAAGGAAAUAAGAUGCACAUAGUCUGAAAGAUCUGGCUGGUGUUCUGAAUAAGAUGACUGCAGGUAUGUUCUCAUCAGAAGUACAGCUGGCAUGUAGGGGUUUCACCAGCACAUCUUGAUGUAUUGUACAAAAGAUUUGCUUACACACCACCUGUUUAUAGGAUGCACAAUCUUCUUGCAGCCAUAGAUUAUAAUAUACAUGCAAAUAGACCAUACAUCACCAACAAGGGGGAUCUGUUAGACUUCAGCGAGUCUGGAUGAAUUAAAGAAGAAGAAAAAGUAUCAUUAUACCAUUUUUCAUGAUGCUAUAACUCUGAGAAUUAGUGACAUGGAGGGGAUAUAUAAAAUAGAAAGUUAGAGGAAGAUGACCCCCACAGACUUUCAAAAUAUUUGGCCCAAGUUAGCCCGAAGCCUACCCGAGCCAUUCAUGAGGAACAUAAAUCAAGAUAUGAUUGACUUUUUAUGGGAAAGAAUGAUAAAUAGUGUUGUGUUACACUGAUUGCCCAACUAUUCAAACAUAUUUAAGCUGACAUUGAACACCUGGUAUUCAUGAUAGUUUUAUGAAAUAUCUUUUUAGAUAUGGCACUGUAUCUAUCUUGUUUCGAAAAAAAUUCUCUUGAUUCAUUUGUCAUGACUCAAGGUCUGUUUUUAAUAUUUUGUCAGAAAAAUGACUACUUUUUAUACAAGUGCAAAAUAUUAUCCAAUCUAUUAAAGUAUAAGUGCUGCUAUGAGCUUUAAUGUAGUAACAAAGUUAAAAGUAUUAUUCAAUUAUAUCUUUUGAUAUACAUGUACUAUGUCAUUCACUUUAGCUCAGCUUUUCUUUUUUUCUUUUUUUGAAAAAAGAAAUAGAGGUUGCUGCCGUUGCCUUCUGCAAACUUGAACCUUGUUCAUAACUUUUAAAGUUCUUGGUGUAUUGUCUAACCUUGGCCUUCUUUCAUAAUUGACCUUGACCUUCAAGGUUAAAUGUCUAAAUUUUGGCUUUGCUUGUUAUUUGCUAUUAGUGGCUUUAACUUUAUUGCCCUUUGUUAAUUUUCAUAUUUCAUUUUUGUCUUGGCCAUUUCUCCUAAACUAUAUUGUUCACAAGGCAACACAUCCGACUCGCGGAGAUCUAGUUGUUAUUAGUUCAUGAAUUGUUUGUAGUCCAAUCUAGUUUAUUAGACCAAUGACACAGGGGCAUUUUAUAUAAAAUCCUUGUUCAAUCAAACAAGGCAAGCCUUAAAAUUAUCUUUGUAUUUACUCCCUCAUCCCAUUCCAGUUUAGAUAGGAUAGGUGGGCUGAUAAAAUAUUUAUUUUUGUGCCCCCACUUUAGUGGCGGGCAUUUAGAUUUACCCUUGUCCGUCCGUCCGUAUUUCACCUAGAGUCAUGAAACUUUACUGUAAUGUUGAUCAGCAAGUGUAGUUGUUCACCUUGGUAUUUUCAUCUGGAUAUUUUUAGUAUUUUCAGAGUUACUGCCAUUGAAUUUUUGCAAUUUUCAACUUGUGUCGCAUGUUACUCAAGAAGUAUUUGACCUACAGCAAUGAAACUUUACAGGAAUGUUGAACAUUAUGUGUAGUUGUGCACCUAGGUAUUUUCGUCUGGAUUUAGUAUUUUGAGAGUUAUGGCCCUUGACUUAGUAAAAUUUUGCAAUUUUCAACUUGUGUGGCAUGUAACUCAAAAAGUAUUUGACUUAGAGUCAUGAAACUUUACAGGAAUGUUGAUCAGCAUGUGUAGUUGCGCAUCUGGGUAUUUUCGUCUGGAAUUAUUUAGGAUUUUUAGAGUUAUUGCCCUUGACUUGGUAAAAUUUUGCAGUUUUCAACUUGUGUCACAUGUAACUCAAAAAGGAUUUGACAUAGAGUCAUUAAACCUUACGGGAAGGUUGCUCAGCAUAUUUAGUUUUGCACCUGGGGUUUGGCUUGUGGAUUUAUCCAGUAUUUGUAGAGUUAUUUCCCUUGACUUAGUAAAAAACAUUUCAUUAUGUUGUUAUUUGUUCCUUGAGUGCUUGAGUGAGAAUCAACCAACUUUACAGGAAUAAUGAUCAACAUCACUAAAUUACAGGAAUAAUGAUUUACAUCACUGUGAAGAUAUGAACCUGGGACUUUCAUGUGGAUUUUUUUCAGUUUUGUUAGAGUUAUUGCCCUUGACUUACAGUAGUAUAAAUUUACAAUUUUCAACUUGUUCAUGCAUAGCUCAAAAAGUAUUUAUGUUUUCUUUCAUUUCAUUCAGCCAAACAUAAAUAAUUUAUCAUUUAACUCCAUAAUUAAUAUCCUACAGGGAUAAAAUAUAAAUAAGAAAGACAAUAUAGGAGUGGCUACUACAGGUUCACUUUAAUUUAUCGAAUAAUUUACAAUUUUCAACUUGUUCAUGCAUAGCUCAAAAAGUAUUUCACUUGUAGGCCUGAAUGUUGAAAAGAAUGUUGGUCAGCAUGUGUACUUAUGCACCUUGGGGUUUACUUGUGAAUUUAUUCAGUAUUUGUAAAGUUCUUGCCCUUUACUUAGUAAAGUUUUCAAAAAAUAUUUGACCUAGAGUCAUAAGAUUGACAGAACAGUGGCGCGUAGGGGGGACCCGUGUCCUAUGGACACAUUCCUAGUUAUUCAAAAUGUUUGUCUUGUUUUAUUUUUCAUUAAAAUUAUAUGUAGUUCAAACAAAUUGUGUGCAUGAAAGCAUCUGUUUUACUUGAAAAUUUAGAACCAUAUUUUCAGUUUCAAUCAACAAAUAUCCCAACAUUUGUAUAUUUACAAUUAAGAAAUCACGAGACAGUUAAAAAGAUGUCAUUCUCAUUGACACUCUGAUUUCAUUUUAGUAAACAAAUCCUGGGCAAUAAGAUAUUUUAGGUAGCUGUGCUAUUUGUAGGUAGGUCGCGGGAGUGGGGAACAAACAAUAUUUUACAUUCAGGGGUAAGCCUAAGUUUUUAGGCUUGGUAGGAACAUUGCCCUUCCCCAGAUAAUGGCACCAACUGAUUUUGAGGUAAUUAGAUUUAAAUCUCAAGAUGGCAUAAAGUUUAACUUCCUUUAAAUAUGUGUAACAUUGUAAGGUAUAGUUUAUGUAACUCACAAGGAAAAAUUCUGAAUGCCAUUAGUUUUAAGAUUGGUCCAUUUGAUUAUAAGUUCAAGGUCUCAGUGACAUGUAAACUCAUUGUCCCAAGGUUUUGAACAUUUCCAGGGACAUUGCUUAGAUUAGUAAUUAAGCAUUAGUUUGGAGUUAAUAAGGUCUAAGGUCACAAUGGCUUAAGCAUAAUAUCCUUCAUCACCAGAAACCCAUAAGGGGUUAGCUCAAGUUCAUACAAUUUUGUUGGAAUUAAGAUAUUAUUUAUUUCCUUCUACAAUAUUGGCCAUCUUCACACUUUCUCUUCCUGUUAAGACAGCAUGGAUUGAAUAAAAAAUAAAACUAUAACUGUAAAGAAGUCACUGGUGUACAAUUUUAAGGGUAAGAAAAAGAAGAUAUGCUGUUCAUUUGAAAAUAUUUUAUUGUUGUUUUACUGCCAAUGUUCAAAUACAUGUUUCAAUUUAUCUGUGUUUUUGUUAUUUUAACAACAUUCCAAAAUGUGUCCUGAAACGUGCUAAGAGAAGUGAAGUGUAAAUUAACAUUGAAAGGUAUUUGUAAAACAUUGUUACAAUCUGUGAUCUUAUUUGAAUUUUAAAAAAGUACAUUUGACAUCAGAAAAUAGAGAAAUAAAGAAUUCCUGCAGAAAGCCCAAAAUGACAAAAUUGAAACUGUUGCAGGCUCUAUUUGGUGAGCCUGUUGGAAAGUGCAAGUUACCUUCCAUGCCCCCCUAGCACCAGCUUUAGCAGAAUUCAACAUUUGAACAUAAAGUGGUGAAAUUUAUGGUUUUAUGCCAUACCGGUGUACAUAAUCCAGAGAUUAGGAUUUAAUUCUUGGCAAUCUUAUUUUCAGUGGAAUGCAACUGUUCAUUGUUAACAGAAUAAUAUUUACACAGGUUGCACUGUGUUUGUAUUGGAAUGAAAUUCUCAUUAGUACAUUAUUUUCCAUAAUGUGCACUU